UGUUCUUAUUUUCAUUUAAGAAGUAAGCUGUGAUUGUGAGGAAAUUUUUCCGUCAACGAAACCCAGUGCUUUGUCAAAAAUUAUAUACGACUGUAACAAUGAUUAAAACUUGUUGGUCCAAUAGAACUCCCUUUGAAACAAUCCUCAUCUUAAUAUUGAUGGUAGCAGUGCCGUUCUUUGUGACGAUGAUCAUUCUUUACUUAUCAUUCAUUGGAUCUUACCCUUCAGAAAGUUGUUUUAAGAUGUGUAAAAUGUUAUCAUUCUUGCUUGAAGAAGAUUAUAAUAAGCCAAAAGAAUGGGCAAACGAAAAAGAGAAGAAAGAAAGGUGGGUGGUUGGUCCUGAAAAUUUUACAGGAGAAGGUGGAGUAUUUAAACAAAAUAGACGACGUCGGGAACCAAGUUAUGAGAUAUUAAAAUCUAUAUUACAAUUAACCCAAGGAGAGAAAAACAAAUCCCUGAGUGCUGACAGAAAUCAUCAUGAUUUUCCAGUAGCAGCUCUACUGGAAAAAAUACAUUGUGACAAUGCUGACGAAGAACUAUUUAAAUGCACUAUCGCUAAACUUUCAUCAAACUGGGCACUGACAACCAAUAAUUGUUUUAAAUACGAAACCGAUAAAUGGAACUUGUUAUCAAUUCGAAGCAACUCCUAUUACUGGUCGAAGGGUGGCAACAUUAAAAAAAUACAAAAUGUGUUCUGGUAUAAAAAUCUGGUGGCAAUCAGGUUAAAAUCUGGUCAUCCAGCCACAAAAGUUAUUUACAUUACAAACACAUCGGAUAGUGUACAAACAUUUUAUUGGGUUUUUAAUUUACAACUUCCGUUGCAAAAAAGGUUAAAAUUUGAUCAACUACAAAUCACAAGCAUUUUGCCAAAGAAAACACAUGACGUGCCCAUGUUUGAUUGCAACCGGAAUCUGAUUGGUUUUCAGUCGUAUCCGUUUACUAACGAAAACUUAAGUGAGUAUCGUUCUUGGUUGGAAAAGCUGGGAGCGUUUGCGUAAUUUGUUUUAAAUAUGUUUUUGAUAAUAAAAAAAAACUUAAUUUUAUAUUAUUAUGUUGGUUGUUAAACUUAACAAAAAUAGUGUGUAAUGUUUUGGAACUGAUUAUUUAAAAAAUUCAUCCGCUAGUCUACCAGAAGAAAGAAAUCGAUCGAGAAGAAUAAAAAUAUCUCGUAUUUGUUUUACUACUUUUGUCCGAUUUUUUAUUGGAAUUACAGUUUAUGUUGUUUUUAUUAAAGUAUACACCUACGUUUUGUAAA
Tribolium castaneum (red flour beetle) is the source of this 1255-nucleotide RNA transcript. RefSeq lists it as uncharacterized. The record is from RefSeq and is a predicted model, not a curated record. The transcript has 5 exons. NCBI's taxonomy places the organism in Eukaryota, Metazoa, Arthropoda, Insecta, Coleoptera, Tenebrionidae.